UACGUAGGGGGCAAGCGUUGUCCGGAUUUAUUGGGCGUAAAGAGCGUGUAGGCGGCCUUACAGGUCAGCUGUGAAAACUCGAGGCUCAACCUCGAGACGUCGGUUGAUACCGUAAGGCUAGAGUCCGGAAGAGGAGAGUGGAAUUCCCGGUGUAGCGGUGAAAUGCGCAGAUAUCGGGAAGAACACCCGUGGCGAAGGCGGCUCUCUGGGACGGUACUGACGCUGAGACGCGAAAGCGUGGGGAGCGAACAGG
Molecule: ribosomal RNA, 253 nt
Filed under: uncultured bacterium
Lineage: Bacteria
Description: partial 16S ribosomal RNA
Rfam family: Bacterial small subunit ribosomal RNA
Source: RNAcentral